GGUACAAACAAGGGGGAUCUGGUCCGGAUCCAGAUCGUGAUCUCCACCUCGGUACAGUAACUUGCAUGGAGGGGAAGUUGAUGGUUGUUUAGGGGGGUGAGAUAUUACAAUAGCUUCUGAAAAACUAAUAGAACUGUUGCAGGGAAAUAAAACAGGAGAGAACAAUGGCAACAAAAACAAGAGCAAAGAUGGUGGUGAGGUGCCCGGGUGGACCCUGCCUCUGCUGUGGGAGCCUCCAGCUGUGCUCCGGGGAAAAAAGGGGGACACGCGUAUUGGAGGCUUUUCACCAAGGAGCACAGAGAGAAAGGGAGGGAGAGAGAGAGAGACCCACCUUCCUCCUCCUCCUGCUGCUUGUCGUCCCCUCUUCCUCACCCCGAGAAAGGGGCCCGAGGUGA
RNAcentral lists this long non-coding RNA (395 nucleotides) under Cottoperca gobio. Its description in RNAcentral is "lncRNA (ENSCGOG00000005469.1)". The record is from RNAcentral. Lineage: Eukaryota; Metazoa; Chordata; Actinopteri; Perciformes; Bovichtidae.